AACGGCCGCGGUAUCCUAACCGUGCAAAGGUAGCGUAAUCACUUGUUCUUUAAAUAGGGACUAGUAUGAAUGGCAUCACGAAGGUUAAACUGUCUCCUUUUUCUAAUCAGUGAAACUAAUUUUCCCGUGAAGAAGCGGGAAUAUAAGUAUAAGACGAGAAGACCCUAUGGAGCUUUAAACAAUUCAACACUUGCUUUAAUAUUUAAAAAUUUCAGAACUUUAUACUCUUCGAGCAAUAUGAUUGCAAAGUUUUUGGUUGGGGUGACCACGGAGUAUAAUUCAACCUCCCUGCUGAAAGAAUCUCUUCUAAGCUAAGAAUUACUUAUCUAAGCAUCAACACAAUGACAUCCCUUGACCCAAUAUAUUUGAUCAACGAACCAAGUUACCCUAGGGAUAACAGCGCAAUCCACUUCAAGAGCUCCUAUCGACAAGUGGGUUUACGACCUCGAUGUUGGAUCAGGGUAUCCUAGUGGUGUAGCCGCUACUAAAGGUUCGUUUGUUCAACGAUUAAAACCCU
RNAcentral lists this ribosomal RNA (517 nucleotides) under Rhinella chullachaki. RNAcentral's name for it is "Rhinella sp. c MV-2021 partial large subunit ribosomal RNA". It matches the Rfam family "Bacterial large subunit ribosomal RNA", at positions 1926 to 2597 of the family's 2925-position model. The record is from RNAcentral. Lineage: Eukaryota; Metazoa; Chordata; Amphibia; Anura; Bufonidae.